This 376-nucleotide ribosomal RNA is filed under the name uncultured organism. RNAcentral's name for it is "partial 16S ribosomal RNA". It matches the Rfam family "Bacterial small subunit ribosomal RNA", at positions 527 to 896 of the family's 1533-position model. The record is from RNAcentral.
GUAGGUGGCAAGCGUUGUCCGGAAUUAUUGGGCGUAAAGCGCGCGCAGGCGGUUCUUUAAGUCUGAUGUGAAAGCCCACGGCUCAACCGUGGAGGGUCAUUGGAAACUGGAGAACUUGAGUACAGAAGAGGAAAGCGGAAUUCCACGUGUAGCGGUGAAAUGCGUAGAGAUGUGGAGGAACACCAGUGGCGAAGGCGGCUUUCUGGUCUGUAACUGACGCUGAGGCGCGAAAGCGUGGGGAGCAAACAGGAUUAGAUACCCUGGUAGUCCACGCCGUAAACGAUGAGUGCUAAGUGUUAGGGGGGUUUUACCCGCCCCCCUUAGUGCUGCAGCUAACGCAUUAAGCACUCCGCCUGGGAGUACGGCCGCAAGGCUG